CCUACGGGAGGCAGCAGUGGGGAAUUUUCCGCAAUGGGCGAAAGCCUGACGGAGCAACGCCGCGUGAGGGAUGAAGGCCUCUGGGCUGUAAACCUCUUUUAUCAAGGAAGAAGAUCUGACGGUACUUGAUGAAUAAGCCACGGCUAAUUCCGUGCCAGCAGCCGCGGUAAUACGGGAGUGGCAAGCGUUAUCCGGAAUUAUUGGGCGUAAAGCGUCCGCAGGCGGUCUUGUAAGUCUGUCGUUAAAGCGUGGAGCUUAACUCCAUUUCGGCGGUGGAAACUACAAGACUAGAGUGUGGUAGGGGCAGAGGGAAUUCCCGGUGUAGCGGUGAAAUGCGUAGAUAUCGGGAAGAACACCAGUGGCGAAGGCGCUCUGCUGGGCCAUAACUGACGCUCAUGGACGAAAGCUAGGGGAGCGAAAGGGAUUAGAUACCCCUGUAGUCCUAGCCGUAAACGAUGAACACUAGGUGUCGGGGAAUCGACCCCCUCGGUGUCGUAGCUAACGCGUUAAGUGUUCCGCCUGGGGAGUACGCACGCAAGUGUGAAACUUAAAUGAAUUGACGG
Molecule: ribosomal RNA, 563 nt
Filed under: uncultured bacterium
Lineage: Bacteria
Description: bacterial SSU rRNA
Rfam family: Bacterial small subunit ribosomal RNA
Source: RNAcentral